Molecule: ribosomal RNA, 253 nt
Filed under: uncultured bacterium
Lineage: Bacteria
Description: partial 16S ribosomal RNA
Rfam family: Bacterial small subunit ribosomal RNA
Source: RNAcentral
UACAGAGGGUGCGAGCGUUGUCCGGAAUCACUGGGCGUAAAGGGCGCGUAGGCGGCCUGAUAAGUAGGGGGUGAAAUCCUGUGGCUUAACUGCAGGGCUGCCUCCUAGACUGUUAGGCUCGAGCACGGUAGAGGCAGAUGGAAUUCCCGGUGUAGCGGUGGAAUGCGUAGAGAUCGGGAAGAACAUCGGUGGCGAAGGCGGUCUGCUGGGCCGUUGCUGACGCUGAUGAGCGAAAGCUAGGGGAGCAAACGGG